GAUGAAGAACGCCAGUGAAAUGCGAUAAGUAAUGUGAAUUGCAGAAUUCAGUGAAUCAUCGAAUCUUUUAACGCACAUUGCGCCCGCCAGCAUUCUGGCGGGCAUGCCUGUUCGAGCGUCAUUUCAACCCUCGAGCCCCCCCGGGGGCCUCGGUGUUGGGGGACGGCACACCAGCCGCCCCCGAAAUGCAGUGGCGACCCCGCCGCAGCCUCCCCUGCGUAGUAGCACACACCUCGCACCGGAGCGCGGAGGCGGUCACGCCGUAAAACGCCCAACUUUCUUAGAGUUGACCUCGGAUCAGGUAGGAAUACCCGCUGAACUUAAGCAUAUCAAUAAGCGGAGGA
Molecule: unclassified non-coding RNA, 344 nt
Filed under: soil metagenome
Description: partial contains 5.8S ribosomal RNA, internal transcribed spacer 2, and large subunit ribosomal RNA
Rfam family: 5.8S ribosomal RNA (bases 1-121)
Source: RNAcentral